RNAcentral lists this ribosomal RNA (397 nucleotides) under uncultured bacterium. Its description in RNAcentral is "partial 16S ribosomal RNA". It matches the Rfam family "Bacterial small subunit ribosomal RNA", at positions 523 to 918 of the family's 1533-position model. The record is from RNAcentral.
AUACGUAGGUGGCGAGCGUUGUCCGGAUUUACUGGGUGUAAAGGGCGAGUAGGCGGGUAAACAAGUCAGAUGUGAAAUACCGAGGCUCAACUUCGGGGCUGCAUUUGAAACUGUUUAUCUUGAGUGAUGGAGAGGCAGGCGGAAUUCCCCGGGUGUCGGUGAAAUGCAUAGAGAUUGGGAGGAACACCAGUGGUGAAGGCGGGUAACUGGACUGCAACUGACGCUGAGGCGCGAAAGUGUGGGGAGCAAACAGGACUAGAUACCCUGGUAGUCCACACUGUAAACGAUGAAUGCUAGGUGUAAGAGGUAUCGACCCCUUUUGUGCCGGGGUUAACACAAUAAGCAUUCCGCCUGGGGAGUACGGCCGCAAGGUUGAAACUUAAAGGAAUUGACGGGG